This 73-nucleotide transfer RNA is filed under the name bacterium. RNAcentral's name for it is "tRNA-Ala". It matches the Rfam family "tRNA". Rfam says of the family: Transfer RNA (tRNA) molecules are approximately 80 nucleotides in length. Their secondary structure includes four short double-helical elements and three loops (D, anti-codon, and T loops). RNAcentral also lists the same sequence under 1 other name. The record is from RNAcentral.
GGGGCAGUAGCUCAGUUGGGAGAGCGCUACCUUCGCACGGUAGAGGUCGCCGGUUCGAAUCCGGUCUGCUCCA